AACACUGUUAACCUGCGGUACCUGCGGAGGGAUCAUUACCGAGUUUACAACUCCCAAACCCCUGUGAACAUACCAAUUGUUGCCUCGGCGGAUCAGCCCGCUCCCGGUAAAACGGGACGGCCCGCCAGAGGACCCCUAAACUCUGUUUCUAUAUGUAACUUCUGAGUAAAACCAUAAAUAAAUCAAAACUUUCAGCAACGGAUCU
This 205-nucleotide unclassified non-coding RNA is filed under the name soil metagenome. RNAcentral describes it as "partial contains 5.8S ribosomal RNA, internal transcribed spacer 2, and large subunit ribosomal RNA". The record is from RNAcentral.